Molecule: unclassified non-coding RNA, 261 nt
Filed under: Hevea brasiliensis (rubber tree)
Lineage: Eukaryota; Viridiplantae; Streptophyta; Magnoliopsida; Malpighiales; Euphorbiaceae
Source: RNAcentral
GUCAGGUUCUAUCAGAGCCAUUAGAGGACACUCUGGAAAGAAUUGAUAAGGAAAUAAGGAGGUUUGAUAAUGAUUACUUGAGAUCAGAUAUUGACUACUUGGAAGUGUUAGAUGACCUUAAGACUAUCAUGCAAGGUGUGCAUGCUUGUCGAUGCCCAAACCUCAGCAUUGUUAGUUGGGUGCGACUAAGUUUCAAUGAUGUUGAUUUUGGAAUGGGAAAGCCUAUAUAUGUAAGGCCUGCAAAUCCACAUGAAGGCACGG